This 492-nucleotide ribosomal RNA is filed under the name uncultured bacterium. RNAcentral's name for it is "partial 16S ribosomal RNA". It matches the Rfam family "Bacterial small subunit ribosomal RNA", at positions 29 to 507 of the family's 1533-position model. The record is from RNAcentral.
AGUGAACGCUGGCGGUAGGCCUAACACAUGCAAGUCGAACGGCAGCACAGUAAGAGCUUGCUCUUACGGGUGGCGAGUGGCGGACGGGUGAUGAAUACAUCGGAAUCUACUUUUUCGUGGGUGAUAACGUAGGGAAACUUACGCUAAUACCGCAUACGACCUACGGGGGAAAGCAGGGGAUCUUCGGACCUUGCGCGAUUGAAUGAGCCGAUGUCGGAUUAGCUAGUUGGUGGGGUAAAGGCCCACCAAGGCGACGAUCCGUAGCUGGUCUGAGAGGAUGAUCAGCCACACUGGAACUGAGACACGGUCCAGACUCCUACGGGAGGCAGCAGUGGGGAAUAUUGGACAAUGGGCGCAAGCCUGAUCCAGCCAUACCGCGUGGGUGAAGAAGGCCUUCGGGUUGUAAAGCCCUUUUGUUGGGAAAGAAAAGCAGCAGGUUAAUACCCCGCUGUUCUGACGGUACCCAAAGAAUAAGCACCGGCUAACUUCGUG